Molecule: ribosomal RNA, 1331 nt
Filed under: uncultured bacterium
Lineage: Bacteria
Description: bacterial SSU rRNA
Rfam family: Bacterial small subunit ribosomal RNA
Source: RNAcentral
GAUUUACUUCGGUAAAGAGCGGCGGACGGGUGAGUAACGCGUGGGUAACCUGCCCUGUACACACGGAUAACAUACCGAAAGGUAUGCUAAUACGAGAUAAAAUACUUUUAUCGCAUGGUAGAAGUAUCAAAGCUUUUGCGGUACAGGAUGGACCCGCGUCUGAUUAGCUAGUUGGUAAGGUAACGGCUUACCAAGGCGACGAUCAGUAGCCGACCUGAGAGGGUGAUCGGCCACAUUGGAACUGAGACACGGUCCAAACUCCUACGGGAGGCAGCAGUGGGGAAUAUUGCACAAUGGGCGAAAGCCUGAUGCAGCAACGCCGCGUGGGUGAAGAAGGUCUUCGGAUCGUAAAACCCUGUUGUUAGAGAAGAAAGUGCGUGAGAGUAACUGUUCACGUUUCGACGGUAUCUAACCAGAAAGCCACGGCUAACUACGUGCCAGCAGCCGCGGUAAUACGUAGGUGGCAAGCGUUAUCCGGAUUUAUUGGGCGUAAAGGGAACGCAGGCGGUCUUUUAAGUCUGAUGUGAAAGCCUUCGGCUUAACCGGAGUAGUGCAUUGGAAACUGGGAGACUUGAGUGCAGAAGAGGAGAGUGGAACUCCAUGUGUAGCGGUGAAAUGCGUAGAUAUAUGGAAGAACACCAGUGGCGAAAGCGGCUCUCUGGUCUGUAACUGACGCUGAGGGUCGAAAGCGUGGGUAGCAAACAAGAUUAAGAUACCCUGGUAGUCCACGCCGUAAAACGAUGAAUGCUAAGAGUUGGAGGGUUUCCGCCCUUCAGUGCUGCAGCUAACGCAAUAAAGCAUUCCGCCUGGGGAGUACGACCGCAAGGUUGAAACUCAAAGGAAUUGACGGGGGCCCGCACAAGCGGUGGAGCAUGUGGUUUAAUUAGAAGCAACGCGAAGAACCUUACCAGGUCUUGACAUCUUCUGACAAUCCUAGAGAUAGGACUUUCCCUUAGGGGACAGAAUGACAGGUGGUGCAUGGUUGUCGUCAGCUCGUGUCGUGAGAUGUUGGGUUAAGUCCCGCAACGAGCGCAACCCUUAUUGUUAGUUGCCAGCAUUAAGUUGGGCACUCUAGCAAGACUGCCGGUGACAAACCGGAGGAAGGUGGGGAUGACGUCAAAUCAUCAUGCCCCUUAUGGCCUGGGCUACACACGUACUACAAUGGCGGCUACAAAGAGCAGCGAGACAGGGAUGUCGAGCGAAUCUCAUAAAAGCCGUCCCAGUUCGGAUUGGAGGCUGCAACCCGCCUCCAUGAAGUUGGAAUCGCUAGUAAUCGCGGAUCAGCAUGCCGCGGUGAAUACGUUCCCGGGCCUUGCACACACCGCCCGUCA